GCUGGCGGCACGCCUAACACAUGCAAGUCGAACGAAGUAGCAAUACUUAGUGGCAGACGGGUGAGUAACAUGUAGGUAUCUGCCCUUUGGCCUGGAAUAACACGAGGAAACUUGUGCUAAUACCGGAUAAGUCUUUACGGAGAAAGCUUUAUGCACCAUUGGAUGAGCCUGCACUUGAUUAGUUUGUUGGUGGGGUAAUGGCCUACCAAGACUGUGAUCAAUAGCUGAUUUGAGAGGAUGAUCAGCCACAUUGGGACUGAGACACGGCCCAAACUCCUACGGGAGGCAGCAGUGGGGAAUCUUGCACAAUGGAGGAAACUCUGAUGCAGCGAUGCCGCGUGAGUGAAGAAGGCCCUUGGGUUGUAAAGCUCUUUCGUCGGGGAAGAAAAUGACUGUACCCGAAUAAGAAGGUCCGGCUAACUUCGUGCCAGCAGCCGCGGUAAUACGAAGGGACCUAGCGUAGUUCGGAAUUACUGGGCUUAAAGAGUUCGUAGGUGGUUGAAAAAGUUAGUGGUGAAAUCCCAGAGCUUAACUCUGGAACUGCCAUUAAAACUUU
Molecule: ribosomal RNA, 556 nt
Filed under: uncultured Pseudomonadota bacterium
Lineage: Bacteria; Pseudomonadati; Pseudomonadota
Description: bacterial SSU rRNA
Rfam family: Bacterial small subunit ribosomal RNA
Source: RNAcentral